GAACGCUAGCUACAGGCUUAACACAUGCAAGUCGAGGGGCAUCAGGAAGAAAGCUUGCUUUCUUUGCUGGCGACCGGCGCACGGGUGAGUAACACGUAUCCAACCUGCCCUUUACUCGGGGAUAGCCUUUCGAAAGAAAGAUUAAUACCCGAUAGCAUAAUGAUUCCGCAUGGUUUCAUUAUUAAAGGAUUCCGGUAAAGGAUGGGGAUGCGUUCCAUUAGGUUGUUGGUGAGGUAACGGCCCACCAAGCCUUCGAUGGAUAGGGGUUCUGAGAGGAAGGUCCCCCACAUUGGAACUGAGACACGGUCCAAACUCCUACGGGAGGCAGCAGUGAGGAAUAUUGGUCAAUGGGCGCUAGCCUGAACCAGCCAAGUAGCGUGAAGGAUGAAGGCUCUAUGGGUCGUAAACUUCUUUUAUAUAAGAAUAAAGUGCAGUAUGUAUACUGUUUUGUAUGUAUUAUAUGAAUAAGGAUCGGCUAACUCCGUGCCAGCAGCCGCGGUAAUACGGAGGAUCCGAGCGUUAUCCGGAUUUAUUGGGUUUAAAGGGAGCGUAGGUGGACUGGUAAGUCAGUUGUGAAAGUUUGCGGCUCAACCGUAAAAUUGCAGUUGAUACUGUCAGUCUUGAGUACAGUAGAGGUGGGCGGAAUUCGUGGUGUAGCGGUGAAAUGCUUAGAUAUCACGAAGAACUCCGAUUGCGAAGGCAGCUCACUGGACUGCAACUGACACUGAUGCUCGAAAGUGUGGGUAUCAAACAGGAUUAGAUACCCUGGUAGUCCACACAGUAAACGAUGAAUACUCGCUGUUUGCGAUAUACAGUAAGCGGCCAAGCGAAAGCAUUAAGUAUUCCACCUGGGGAGUACGCCGGCAACGGUGAAACUCAAAGGAAUUGACGGGGGCCCGCACAAGCGGAGGAACAUGUGGUUUAAUUCGAUGAUACGCGAGGAACCUUACCCGGGCUUAAAUUGCAGUGGAAUGAUGUGGAAACAUGUCAGUGAGCAAUCACCGCUGUGAAGGUGCUGCAUGGUUGUCGUCAGCUCGUGCCGUGAGGUGUCGGCUUAAGUGCCAUAACGAGCGCAACCCUUAUCUUCAGUUACUAACAGGUCAUGCUGAGGACUCUGGAGAGACUGCCGUCGUAAGAUGUGAGGAAGGUGGGGAUGACGUCAAAUCAGCACGGCCCUUACGUCCGGGGCUACACACGUGUUACAAUGGGGGGUACAGAAGGCAGCUAGCGGGUGACCGUAUGCUAAUCCCAAAAGCCUCUCUCAGUUCGGAUCGAAGUCUGCAACCCGACUUCGUGAAGCUGGAUUCGCUAGUAAUCGCGCAUCAGCCACGGCGCGGUGAAUACGUUCCCGGGCCUUGUACACACCGCCCGUCAAGCCAUGGGAGCCGGGGGUACCUGAAGUACGUAACCGCAAGGAUCGUCCUAGGGUAAAACUGGUGACUGGGGCU
RNAcentral lists this ribosomal RNA (1448 nucleotides) under uncultured organism. Its description in RNAcentral is "SSU rRNA". It matches the Rfam family "Bacterial small subunit ribosomal RNA". The record is from RNAcentral.